CACGUAGUUAGCCGGGGCUUCUUAGUCAGGUACCGUCUUGCUUCUUCCCUGCCGAUAGGGCUUUACAUGCCGAAGCACUCCUUCACCCACGCGGCGUCGCUGCAUCAGGGUUCCCCCCAUUGUGCAAUAUCCCCCACUGCUGCCUCCCGUAGGAGUCUGGGCCGUGUCUCAGGCCCAAUGUGGCCGUCCGCCCUCUCAGGCCGGCUACCGAUCGUCGCCUUGGUGGGCCGCUGCCCCGCCAACAAGCUAAUCGGACGCGGACCCAUCGCAUGCCGGGAUUGCUCCCUUUCCGCACUGCGCCAUGCGGCGCCGUGCGCAUAUGCGGUAUUAGCGGCUGUUUCCAGCCGGUAUCCCCCUGCAUGCGGCAGGUUGCCACGCGUUACUCACCCGUCCGCCACUCGCAUGCGCAAUCACUAGGUUUUCAUGCGCAGUCGCCCGUUCGACUUGCAUGUGUUAGGCACGCGCCAGCGUUCAUCUGACG
RNAcentral lists this ribosomal RNA (481 nucleotides) under uncultured Lachnospiraceae bacterium. Its description in RNAcentral is "partial 16S ribosomal RNA". The record is from RNAcentral. Lineage: Bacteria; Bacillati; Bacillota; Clostridia; Lachnospirales; Lachnospiraceae.